Long non-coding RNA from Ostrea edulis (European flat oyster), 2909 nucleotides. RefSeq lists it as uncharacterized. Lineage: Eukaryota; Metazoa; Mollusca; Bivalvia; Ostreida; Ostreidae. The record is from RefSeq and is a predicted model, not a curated record. The transcript is spliced from 3 exons.
CGUCAACAAACGAAAUCAUUUGAAGCUGGCAGUUUUCAGGUCGUAUGGGGCUUUAACGAAUAUUUGAAGGUAUGUUUAGACACAAGUAUAGCAGGAAAAUAUGUUAAGAAUUUUUUGAUAUUAAAUUUAUGAGACAGCAACUCAAGAAUACAACGAUAUAAGACCUCAACCGUGCGCAGCUUUUUGUGCACCGUAAAUUGAAGGUUUUUAUAAGGGGUGGCUCUGUAGCUCUCUGUUAUGUCAAAAUAUUUUUUCAGAGAGCUACAGUUCUGCAGCUAGUGUGAUGGGCAAGAAAUCCCCAGUAGCCGUAUUGACUUUGUUCUCAUAUCGAAACACUUUGGACUAGAAAUAGCUAACAUUCUUGCAAAACAAGCACCUAAAGUAAAAAACAGUAGACUUUCAGAUCAUUUGGCGAUAAGAUUUGAUUUGAUACUUUUAGGAGAAAAAAGAGGUAAAGGAUUGGAAAUUAAAUACAUGUACAUCCUUAUUAACUGAUGUUAAUUAUGUAACACAACUUAAAGAAUUGAUACGUGAAAAUGAAGAAAUAAAUAACAUUUUAGAUGACCAAAUGAAGUGGGAAAAAAUUAAAACAAUAAUUAAAACUUUUUCAAUGCAAUUUGCGCAACAUAAAAGUCUUGAAACAAAACAACGUAUUCUGUUGAUAGAGGGAGAAAUUGAAAAUAUAGAAUUACAAGAUUCAAAUCAAAUAGAUAUGAAAAGAAAAAACAUUUAGAGGUAGAGGAAGAUGGUAUUUACAAGAAUAUUGCAAAAGGUGCAUAUGUACGAUCGAAGUCAAAUUGGAUUGAUAAAGGUGAAAAGAAUACACCAUAUUUCUUAAGAUUAGAAUGACAAACACAAUCAUCAAACACAAUACACGAAAUAAAAACAGGAAAUAAUGAAACAGUUAAUAAAACUGGUGAUAUAAUGAAUAAAUUGUGUGAAUUCUACGAAGCGCUAUAUGUAAGUAAUAAUAAUAAUAACUAAUAAUCCUAAUUGUUCGCGAACAAUUAGAGGGCUUUCCACCUACAAUGAUUUAAAAAAAAGAUAUUUAAGAAUAUUUAAGAUGAUGUACGAAACUCAAAACGACCUUGAAAAUUUAAAUAAUAAUUUUCACGAUGACCUUGACCUUUGACCUUAUUUUGAAGGUCAAAGGUCAUCGGUCUUAAUGCAAGUGAUCCCAUGUCUCUCUCUAUAUUAAUGUAAAAGCUAUAAGCUUAAAAGAUGUUAAUCAAGACAUUCAGGGGCAAUAAUUUGUUAGGGGUUUUCGGUUAGCUUAUCAAUGCUAAAAAUACUUUGAAAGACCUUGAAAAUGGAAAAAAAUUAAUUUUGAUGAUGACCUAGACCUUGACCUCAUUUUGAAGGUCAAAGGUCAUCGGUCUUAAUGCAAGUUGUCCCAUGUCUCUAUCUAUAUUAAUAUAAAAGUUAUAGGCUUAGAUAAUGAUAUUGGAGACUUUCAGGGGCAAUAACUAUGCUUAAGGGUUUUCGUAUCCCUUUGAUUAUUUUUUCUUUGCAAGAGGGUUUUACUGUGAAUUCAUUAGCGAAGGUUUCGUUUCUCUAUGACUUUCCGUUAAGUAGGAGUAGCGAUAACAAGGUUUUCGACGCGAGUCUCCGAAAUUCACAGGAGGGUCAAAGUUCAAAGUUGAAAUGCAUACUAUCAAAACCAAUCAAGAAGUCAAUACUUACCCAUAUAAUAUUUCGACGCUAUCUUAAGCAGGAAAGAGAGUAUAAAAAAUGCAAUUUUUUCCUCUUUUCUGAUGACCUUGACCUUUGACCUUGACUUAAUUUUCAAGGUCAAAGGUCACCGAUCGUAUUCCAGUUGGUCCCGUGUCUCUACGACAAACCGUUCUCAAGUUCGACAUGUUUUACAAAUAAAUCGCAAAACAUAAAGAGGCAUUAACUCCCCUUAGGGGACACCGAAUCCCUUCAUUUUAAAUUCUUCGCUUCUACGAAUUACCCUCUAUGCUUUAGAAAAGGUUUUAUCCUUCUAUCAUUUAUGGUUACAAAGUAGAAGCGCUAACAAUGAUUUCUACGAAAGGUCCAAUAACUCCGUAAGAGGUCAAAGUUCAAAUACGCAGGGUGAACUGUAUUCGUUUCUCAAGAAGUACUAUAUGCUGGUCUAUAAAGUUUUUCAAUAAGUCUUAAGGUAGAGACCGACAGCAACCACGUGAUCAGUAAAAAUCGUGUAUUUUCACGUGAAAUUAUUUUUCGGAAUUCCGUACAUCUCCAUAGAGUAGUUGAAAAACAAAAAGGGGUUCCGAAAGUACAAGUUGUUGCUGUGACUGAAUCGAUGAUUGAGAGGGUCGUCUCGACGAAAGAUAGAGAAAUUUGGCCAUAGUUUAGAUUAGGAAUACGUCAAUGUAAUAAUAGUGGACUAAAUGUUUCGUCCGUGCAGAAUGGCACUUUUUACCUCACGAAAUUCACCACCAUGCAUAGCUGCGCUACGUAAACAAAGUUGUUGAUGUAGCGUGAGUUUCAAUACUGUUUAUGUAGUCAUUGAGAGUUUAAACAAAGUUUCUUCUGAGAAGAGGAAUUCGAUGGAUGCAUUCAACGUGGACAACGAAAUCAUAAUUUCGUUUGCAUCAUCCUAAGGACCAGUGCAAGUUGAAAUGGGCUUCCAGCCAACAACUUCAACAGCAAUUUGCCAUGAAAAUCACCAAGAAAGGUACUUCAUUUACAUUGAUGAUGUCAUAUCCCCUGGACCCCACAACUUUACAGGUUACAGAGAAAAUUCAAGAACUUCUGCAAAAUGUGGAACUUGGAUAGAAUCAAUAAUGUAUUUGUGAGCCCAGAGCAAUGGAUAUAUUGUGCAACAUACUAUUCUAAAGUGUGAAUUUAAUGGAAAACAAGUACAUGUACUCAUGUAUUACAUGUCUUUUUUAAGACAAUAAUAUUGAAUAAAUAUAGAGGAA